This 71-nucleotide transfer RNA is filed under the name Chlamydiales bacterium SCGC AG-110-P3. It matches the Rfam family "tRNA". From Rfam's summary of the family: Transfer RNA (tRNA) molecules are approximately 80 nucleotides in length. Their secondary structure includes four short double-helical elements and three loops (D, anti-codon, and T loops). The record is from Rfam by way of RNAcentral. Lineage: Bacteria; Pseudomonadati; Chlamydiota; Chlamydiia; Chlamydiales.
GCGCCUGUGGUUCAAUGGUAGAACUGUAGCCUUCCAAGCUACAAGCGUCAGUUCGAUUCUGACCAGGCGCU